RNAcentral lists this ribosomal RNA (531 nucleotides) under Nettastomatidae sp. Lep69. RNAcentral describes it as "partial 16S ribosomal RNA". It matches the Rfam family "Bacterial large subunit ribosomal RNA", at positions 1935 to 2597 of the family's 2925-position model. The record is from RNAcentral. Lineage: Eukaryota; Metazoa; Chordata; Actinopteri; Anguilliformes; Nettastomatidae.
GGUAUCCUGACCGUGCGAAGGUAGCGUAAUCACUUGUCUUUUAAAUGAAGACCUGUAUGAAUGGCAUAACGAGGGUUUAACUGUCUCCUCCUCCCAGUCAAUGAAAUUGAUCUAUCCGUGCAGAAGCGGAUAUAUAAACAUAAGACGAGAAGACCCUAUGGAGCUUUAGGCCCAGGACCAAACAUGUUAAGAGAUUAUACAAGCUAUAAGUAAUAAAAAAUCAAAUUAAACCAAGUGUAAACUGAUUCAAGUGCCUUCGGUUGGGGCGACCACGGGGAAAAAAGAAACCCCCACAUGGAAUGGAAGUACCUCCCUAAACUAAGAAAAACAUAUCCAAGUAACAGAACAUCUGACCAAAAAUGACCCAGGAGAAUGAUCCUGAUCAAUGAACCAAGUUACCCUAGGGAUAACAGCGCAAUCCUUUCCCAGAGCCCAUAUCGACGAAAGGGUUUACGACCUCGAUGUUGGAUCAGGACAUCCUAAUGGUGCAGCCGCUAUUAAGGGUUCGUUUGUUCAACGAUUAAUAGUCCU